UACGGAGGGUGCAAGCGUUGUCCGGAUUUAUUGGGUUUAAAGGGUGCGUAGGCGGCUUUAUAAGUCAGCGUUGAAAUAUGGCAGCUUAACUGUCAGACUGGCAUUGAUACUGUAGAGCUUGAGUGAAGUCGAGGUUGGCGGAAUUGACGGUGUAGCGGUGAAAUGCAUAGAUAUCGUCAAGAACACCUAUUGCGAAGGCAGCUAACUAGACUUUAACUGACGCUGAGGCACGAAAGCGUGGGGAUCAAACAGG
RNAcentral lists this ribosomal RNA (253 nucleotides) under uncultured bacterium. RNAcentral's name for it is "partial 16S ribosomal RNA". It matches the Rfam family "Bacterial small subunit ribosomal RNA", at positions 524 to 776 of the family's 1533-position model. The record is from RNAcentral.